UACGUGAAGAGUGCAGAUAAUAGUGC
RNAcentral lists this small RNA (26 nucleotides) under Bombyx mori (domestic silkworm). Its description in RNAcentral is "ovarian small RNA-21179". The record is from RNAcentral. Lineage: Eukaryota; Metazoa; Arthropoda; Insecta; Lepidoptera; Bombycidae.